Molecule: ribosomal RNA, 1472 nt
Filed under: uncultured Bordetella sp.
Lineage: Bacteria; Pseudomonadati; Pseudomonadota; Betaproteobacteria; Burkholderiales; Alcaligenaceae
Description: partial 16S-23S ribosomal RNA intergenic spacer
Rfam family: Bacterial small subunit ribosomal RNA
Source: RNAcentral
GGUUUGAUUAUGGCUCAGGAUUGAACGCUGGCGGGAUGCUUUACACAUGCAAGUCGAACGGCAGCAUCGGACUUCGGUCUGUGGCGAGUGGCGAACGGGUGAGUAAUGUAUCGGAACGUGCCUAGUAGCGGGGAUAACUACGCGAAAGCGUAGCUAAUACCGCAUACGCCUUCGGGGGAAAGCGGGGACCUUUCGGGCCUCGCAUCAUUAGGAGCGGCCGAUAUCGGAUUAGCUAGUUGGUGGGGUGCAACGGCCUCACCACAGCGACGAUCCGUAGCUGGUUUGAGAGACGACCAGCCACACUGGGACUGGAGACACGGCCCAGACUCCUACGGAGGCAGCAGUGGGGAAUUCUUGGACAAUGGGAAACCCCGAUCCAGCCAUCCCGCGUGUGCGAUGAAGGCCUUCGGGUUGUAAAAAAGCACUUUUGGCAGGAAAGAAACGGCACGGGAUAAUACCCCGUGCAACUGACGGUACCUGCAGUAUCAAGCACCGGCUAACUACAACAGCAGCCGCGGUAAUACGUAGGGUGCAAGCGUUGGAAUCGAAUUACUGGGCGUAAGCGUGCGCAGGCGGUUCGGAAAGAAAGAUGUAAAAACUCCCAGAGCUUAACUUUGGAAUCGCAUUUUUAAUUACCGAGCUAGAGAGUGUGUCAGAGGGCAGAAUUCCGCGCGUAGCAGGAAUGCGCAGAUAUGCGGAGGAACACCGAUGGCGAAGGCAGCUCUCUGGGAUAACACUGACGCUCAUGCACGAAAGCGUGGGGAGCAAACAGGAUUAGAUACCCUGGUAGUCCACGCCCUAAACGAUGUCAACUAGCUGUUGGGGCCUCGGCCUUGGUAGCGCAGCUAACGCGAAGUUGACCGCCCGGGGAGUACGGUCGCAAGAUUAAAACUCAAAGGAAUUGAUUUGGGACCCGCACAAAGCGGUGGAUGAUGUGGAUUAAUUCGAUGCAACGCGAAAACUUUACCUACCCGAUGUUCAAAUCCUGAAGAGAUUUGGGAGUGCUCGCAAGAGAACCGGAACACAGGUGCUGCAUGGCUGUCGCCAGCUCGUGUCGUGAGAUGUUGGGUUAAGUCCCAACGAGCGCAACCCUUGUCAUUAGUUGCUACGAAAGCGGGCACUCUAAUGAGACUGCUGCGACAAACCGGAGGAAGGUGGAUGACGUCGUAAGUCUCAUGGUCUUAUGGUGGUGGGCUUCACACGUCAUACAAUGGUCGGGACAGAGGGUCGCCAACCCGCGAGGGGGAGCCAAUCCCAGAAACCUGAUCGUAGUCCGGACGCAGUCUGCAACUCGACUGCGUGAAGUCGGAAUCGCUAGUAAUCGCGGAUCAGCAUGUCGCGGUGAAUACGUUCCUGGUCUGUACACACCGCCCGUCACACCAUGGGAGUGGUUUACCAGAAGAGGUUAGCCCAACUGCAGAGGCGAUUACCACGGUAGGAUUCAUGACUGGGGUGAAGUCGUAACAAGGUAG